Molecule: transfer RNA, 868 nt
Filed under: Bradyrhizobium japonicum
Lineage: Bacteria; Pseudomonadati; Pseudomonadota; Alphaproteobacteria; Hyphomicrobiales; Nitrobacteraceae
Description: partial contains 16S ribosomal RNA, 16S-23S ribosomal RNA intergenic spacer, and 23S ribosomal RNA
Rfam family: tRNA (bases 219-292)
Source: RNAcentral
GUAGGGGAACCUGCGGCUGGAUCACCUCCUUUCUAAGGAUGGUUCUUCAGAAGCUUGCUUCUAUCGAACCGUUUUAGAAACAUCAGUGGCCAACGAUCGUCAGGAUUGUUGAGCUGCAUUGGCGGGAUUUCGCCGUCUUCGUUUCUCUUUCUUCGCGGACGAACACGCGCUGGGCCUGCGAGAGCAGGGUCCCUGGUCCUUGACGGGAUAUGCGUUAGGGGCUUGUAGCUCAGUUGGUUAGAGCGCGCGCUUGAUAAGCGUGAGGUCGGAAGUUCAAGUCUUCCCAGGCCCACCACACUCAUCGGGUAAGCAUUCGUCUUCUGGUUACGGGGCCAUAGCUCAGCUGGGAGAGCGCGUGCUUUGCAAGCAUGAGGUCGUCGGUUCGAUCCCGUCUGGCUCCACCAGAUGGUUUGAUCACCGAGGCUGUGUUUGCAGGUAUUCAACCGUCGUCCGCGAAACAUCACUUCGCACCUGCUAGUCUGGAUAGACAGUGAGGUUGCGUGAUUUCUGACAUCGUAAAGAGGAGAUCGAUCCGAGUUGGAUCGGGCAGCAAGCAAUUGCUGCGCGAACCUUCAUUAUCUCCGGAUCAUUUCGGCGCUCGCGCGCCUUUCAAUGCGGCUCACAAGGCUGCGUCUGAAGGGAAUGCGGGUUGUAAAUGAUCCUUUUAGCGAAGCUUGACCGCCUCGCUAUCGGAACGAUCUUACGAAGCAAGCUGGUCUUUCUAAUCAUUGUCCGGCUGUACGUAGCGUUCAUCGAGGGCGCGUGCCGUAAGGCAAUCGUACAGACAACAUUCUGCCGAGUGUGUGGACAUUGAUAAUGAGAGCAAUCAAGUGCCUUAUGGGUGUUCGGUGGAUGCCUUGGCGCUGAA